Long non-coding RNA from Alosa sapidissima (American shad), 157 nucleotides. RefSeq lists it as uncharacterized. NCBI's taxonomy places the organism in Eukaryota, Metazoa, Chordata, Actinopteri, Clupeiformes, Clupeidae. The transcript has 3 exons. The record is from RefSeq and is a predicted model, not a curated record.
CACCUGGCAGAGUUCUAAGCCAUCUGGCAAUGUCUAAUGGGCUGGGCUGGGCUGUCUGUGUAUAUGAAGGUGUGUGCAUGUAACUUUUGACCCGUAUGUCCGAUUUUCAUAAAUGAGGUACCGUUGGAAUCCUUGGAUGAGGCCGAGUUCCAUGCCC